UACGGAGGGUGCAAGCGUUGUUCGGAAUUACUGGGCGUAAAGCGCGUGUAGGCGGCCUUCUAAGUCUGGAGUGAAAGCCCGGGGCUCACCCCCGGAAGUGCAUUGGAUACUGGAAGGCUGGAGUACCGGAGAGGAGGGAGGAAUUCCUGGUGUAGCGGUGAAAAGCGUAGAUAGCAGGAGGAACACCUGUGGCGAAGGCGGCCCUCUGGACGGAUACUGCCGCUGAGACGCGAAAGCGUGGGUAGUAAACAGG
This 253-nucleotide ribosomal RNA is filed under the name uncultured bacterium. RNAcentral describes it as "partial 16S ribosomal RNA". It matches the Rfam family "Bacterial small subunit ribosomal RNA", at positions 524 to 776 of the family's 1533-position model. The record is from RNAcentral.